GCCGGGCGUGGUGGCUCACGCCUGUAAUCCCAGCACUUUGGGAGGCUGAGGCGGGUGGAUCACCUGAGGUCAGGAGUUCGAGAACAGUCUGGCCAACUUGGCGAAACCCCAUCUCUGCUAAAAAUACAAAAAAUUAGCUGGGUGUGGUGGCGAGCACUUGUAAUCCCAGCUACUUAGGAGGCUGAGGCAGGAGAAUCGCUUGAAUCCAGGAGACAUGGAGGUUGCAGUGAGCCAAAUUCAUGCCACUGUACUCCAGCCUGGGCAACAGAGUGAAACUCCGUCUCA
Homo sapiens (human) is the source of this 285-nucleotide unclassified non-coding RNA. It matches the Rfam family "Metazoan signal recognition particle RNA". Rfam says of the family: The signal recognition particle (SRP) is a universally conserved ribonucleoprotein. It is involved in the co-translational targeting of proteins to membranes. The eukaryotic SRP consists of a 300-nucleotide 7S RNA and six proteins: SRPs 72, 68, 54, 19, 14, and 9. The record is from Ensembl. Lineage: Eukaryota; Metazoa; Chordata; Mammalia; Primates; Hominidae.